Long non-coding RNA from Loxodonta africana (African savanna elephant), 11829 nucleotides. RefSeq lists it as uncharacterized. The record is from RefSeq and is a predicted model, not a curated record. NCBI's taxonomy places the organism in Eukaryota, Metazoa, Chordata, Mammalia, Proboscidea, Elephantidae. The transcript is spliced from 2 exons.
UUUUUUUUUUUUUUAAGGGAAGUUAAAAGAGAAACAUUUUGAUGCUCCUCCCCCCAGGUACUCCAGGGGACCUUGUCCAGCUUCUUUCCCCACCCCUUCUAUACCCCCUGCCAGGAAGCAUCUUCACCUAGUAUCACUGUCAGGGAUACGUUGAGGAACACUGAGCUAAACAAAAACUUGUUGGUACAGUCUUCCAUUGCCUACAGCCAGAGCCAUGACACCAGCAAGAGCUGUGAACAUUAACUGCAUCUCGCUGUAGAAACAGGCAUCACGAGCCUGAAAAAUGUUUCCCAAAGUCAAGCAUUUGUCAGCAAAAGUCCAUUAAUGUAUGACUUAGAGAACUUAUGUCAAGUGUAUUUCCUACUUGAUGUUUUAUGGUGAAUUAUUGGUAAGAAGAACAUAAUAACACAGUACAAAUAUAUGCCCAGAACAGGUGCUUUUUAAAUACCUAUUUUUGAUAUGUUAAGUGUUAGCACAGAACCCGGCACAAAAGAGCGAAUUGCUGUUUUCUUUCUCUUCCCUUAGAGAUAACAGCAGUAAGUAGACGAAAACCAAAGAUAGUAGUCGUCAGUUCCAUGUCCACUUUGGACGGGAAAUAACAUUUUAAAUUUCUAUGUGUUAUCAGCAGUCGCUAUGAUAAAAUGCUAGCAUACGCUCUCAUAAAUCAUCUAAUCUAACUCUCUCCUCUUAUAGGCGAAGAACCUGAAGCCUCAAAAGUUUAAUUUGCUCAAUUCCCUUAGAGCUCAGUAGAGGAAGUACAGGCCUGCCACUCCAGAGCAGGGUCCUUUCCACUCUACCCCCACAAAGCGCAGUCAGGAAGCUGUCCGUCUGAGCAGAGCUGGACUUCCUUGAAACAGCCCCACUGUUUGUAGCCGAGGAAUUCAAGCUUCAUUACAUGGAGGAUAUCACCGGAGCCCUGGCGGCCCAGUGGUUAAGAGCUCUGCUGCUAACCAGAAGGUUGACGGUUCGAAUCCACCAGCUGCUCCUUGGAAACCCUAUGGGGCAGUUUUGCUCUGUCCUACAGGGUUGCUAUAGUGUCCACUCCUUUCCUUUGUAAUGCCUACAGAAACCACAUAUACAGUAGGCAUUCAACAAAUGUUUAUAGAAGGAAUGCACACUGAGUUCUAGGUACAUCCCUAAUCACUGCAGCAGUAACUCACAAAGCAAGGGAGAUUAAUCCAAAUGCCAAUAUUUUUAGAUACAGAAAUAUUUUCAAACGAAUACAUUAGCACAAACAUAACUGAUAAUUAGAUGGAAAUCCAGUUGCUCAAAAAGGAAUUAAGAUUUAUUCUUGAUGAGCAUUUAAUGUGUUGUUCAUUAUUGAUUUUUUUUAGUUAAAUUUUUUUAUGAGUACUAAAUAAAUUUAGACCACCCAUCAUCAAUUCUGAUUUUAUUGUGUUGCAAAAGUAUUAAAUCAUUUGUUCCCUUUCAUCAAAACUAUCUCCCCAAACCAUAGUUUUACUCUUUUAUUAAAAGUAUGACUCUAACAUGUUUAUAUGAUUUCUCACAAUGGUCAACCAAAUGUUAAUGAAGAGAGUCAUAGAAACCUUAACUAAGCACUAAAGAGAUUUCCUUGUUUUCCUUUGUAGCUAGGAGUUAAGCCACAAUUUCUGCAGUGUAUGGUUUGGCAACAAGUUUGUUCCAUAUAUGCCUUUAAAUGAAGGCUGUGUAUUUGCCUGGCUCUGCCCUAGCUCUCUGUCCUCUUGUUUGUUGUGCCUUUUGGUGCGUGCAACCGCUGCAGUGCGCAGAACUUGUUUCAUCUCAGUAGCCACGUCUCUGCUCCUUACUGUCAUCAGAAUACUGUAAGUCAUUCCUAUUAAGGAUCAACACAGCUAAAACUAUGUUAAUGCCAUUAGAGAGAGACCAUACUCAAUUCAAAAUUUUACAAUUGGAAAUUGUAUAACUUUAUGUGAAGGAUGUAUAGGUUAUGUUUAAAACCAAACCCUCUGGCAAUUAUUAUGGCAAGUCCAAGUCUCUUAUUCAGAGAGGCAACUGCGUAGUAAGCAUUAUAGCUUUAUAUACCAUUAGGCUGCUUUAAGAGCGGUACCUUCAGGAGAUAGCGUGAUCAGGUUUUAGAGUCAGACCAAGUUGAGAUACAGGUUUCUUAUUUAUUGUAUUAUCUGGGAUAUGUCACUCGCUUUGAACCUCAGUUUCCUCUUGUGCAAAAUGGUCAAAAUAUCUGCCUGUCUGGACUGUAGGGAGAAGUAAAUGAGAUAGCAUGUGCAAACUCCCCAGUACAGAGCCCACCAUGUGGCUGGCAUGCUCUGUCUCUUCCCCUAGUCUGCCAAAUGCUACACUAGGUUUGCUCUUUAAUUUUUGUUUCUUUCUUAAUGCAGGGCCAGGAAUAGGAUGAGACAAGUGAGGCACUCCACUCGGGCAUAAAAUUUAAGGGAGUGCAAAAAAUGUAACCAAGAUAGAUAAUAUAUUAAUGUAUUUUUUUUACCUUUUUUUUAUAAUUUUUAUUGUGCUUUAAGUGAAAGUUUACAAAUCAAGUCAGUCUCUCACACAAAAACCCAUAUACACCUUGCUACACACUCCCAAUUACUCUCCCCCUAAUGAGACAGCACGCUCUCUCCCUCCACUCUCUCUUUUCGUGUCCAUUUCGCCAGCUUCUAGUCGCCUCCACCCUCCCAUCUCCCCUCCUGGCAGGAGAUGCCAACAUAGUCUCAAGGGUCCACCUGAUCCAAGAAGCUCACUCCUCACCAGCAUCCCUCUCCAACCCAUUGUCCAGUCUAAUCCAUGUCUGAAGAGUUGGCUUCGGGAAGUGUUCCUGUCCUGGGCCAACAGAAGGCCUGGGGGCCAUGACCACCGGGGUCCUUCUAGUCUCAGUCAGACCAUUAAGUCUGGUCUUAUGAGAAUUUGGGGUCUGCAUCCCACUGCUCUCCUGCUCCCUCAGGGGAUCUCUGUUGUGUUCCUGUCAGGGUAGUCAUUGGUUGUAGCCGGGCACCAUCUAGUUCUUCUGGUCUCAGGAUGAUGUAGUCUCUGGUUCAUGUGGCCCUUUCUGUCUCUUGGGCUCAUAAUCACCUUGUGUCCUUGGUGUUCUUCAUUCUCCUUUGAUCCAGGUGGGUUGAGACCAAUUGAUGCAUCUUAGAUGGCUGCUUGCUAGCAUUUAAGACCCCAGAUGCCACUCUUCAAAGUGGGAUGCCGAAUGUUUUCUUAAUAGAUUUUUAUUAAUGUAUUUUUUUAAUUGUACUUUAGAUGAAGGUUUACAGAACUAGUUUCUCAUUAAACAAUUAGAACACAUAUUGUUUUAUGACAUUGGUUAACAACCCCACGACAUGUCAACAUUCUCCCCUUCUCGACCUUGGGUUCCCUAUGACCAGCUUUUCUGUCCCCUCCUGCCUUCUCAUCCUUGCCCCUGGACUGGUGUGUCCCUUUAGUCUUGUUUUGUCUUAUGGGCCUGCUUAAUCUUUGGCUGAAGGGUGAACCUCAAGAGUGACUUCAUUACUGAGUUGAAAGGGUGUCCAGGGGCCAUACUCCCAGGGUUUCUCCAGUCUCUGUCAGGCCAGCAAGUCUGGUCUUUCUUUUUGAGUUAGAGUUUUGUUCUAUAUUUUUCUCGAGCUCUGUCCAGGACCCUCUAUUUUACUCCCUGUCAGAGCAGUGAGUGAUGGUAGCCGAACACCAUCUAGUUGUGCUGGACUCAGUCUGGUGGAGGCCAUGGUAGAUGUGGUCCAUUAGUCCUUUGGACUAAUCUUUCCCUUACAUCUUUAGUUUUCUUCAUUAUUCCUUUCUCUUGAAGGGGUGAGACCAGUGGAGUACCCUAGAUGGCUGCUCACAGGCUGUCAUGGAUUGAAUUGUGUCUCCCAAAAAAUAUGUGUCAACUUGGUUAGACCAUGUGUGGUUAUCCUCCAUUUUGUGAUUUUCCCAUAAUCAUAAUCUCUGCCUGUGGUUAAAGAGAAUUAGGGUGGGAUGUAACACCCUUGUUCAGGCCACAUUCUUGAUCCAAUGUAAAAGGAAAGGGAAGCAAGCAGAGAGUUGGGGACCUCAUACCACCAAGAAAACAGCACCAGGAGCAGAGCGCAUCCUUUGGACACAGGGUCCCUGUACUUGAGAAGCUCCUUGACCAGGGGAAGACUGAAGACAAGGACCUUCCUCCAGAGCUGACAGUAAGAGAAAGCCUUCCCCUGGAGCCAGUGCCCUGAAUUUGGGCUUGUAACCUACUAGACUGUGAGAAAAUAGAUUUCCCUUUGUUAAAGCCAUCCAGUUGUGGUAUUUCUGUUAUGGCAGUACUAGAUGGCUAAGCCACAGGCUUUUAAGACCCCAGACUCUACUCACGAAAGUAAAAUGUAGAACAUUUUCUUCAUAAAGUAUGUUAUGCAAGUUGAGCUAGAUGUUCCCUGAGACCAUGGUACCCACAGCCCUCAGCCCAGCAAUUCCGUCCCUCAGGGAGUUUGGAUGUGUCUAUGGAGCUUCCAUGACCUUGCUCUGUACAAGUUGUGCUGGCUUCCCCAGUGUUGUGUACUGUCUUACCCUACACCAAAGUUAGCACUUAUCUAUUGCCUAUUUAGUGUUUUUCUAUCCUUACCCCCGCCCUCCCUCAUAACCAUCAAAGAUUGUUUCUUUUUGUAUGCAAACCUUUUCAUGAGCUUUUACGGUAGUGGUCUCAUACAAUAUUUGUCCUUUUGUGAUUGACUUACUUCACUCAGCAUAAUGCCCUCCAGAUUCAUCCAUGUUAUGAGAUGCUUUACAGAUUCAUCGUUGUUCUUCAUCGUUGUGUAAUACUCCGUUGUGUGUAUAUACCACAAUUUGUUUAUCCAUUCAUCUGUUGAUGGGCAUCUAGGUUGUGUCCAUCUUUUUGCUAUUGUGAACAUGCAGUGCUGCAGUGAACAUGGGUGUGUACAUGUCUAUUCAUGUGACGACUCUUAAUUUCUUUAGGAUAUAGUCCUAGGAGUAGAAUUGCUGGAUCAUAUGGUAUUUCUAUUUCUAGCUUUCCAAGGAAGCACCGUAUCAUUUUCCAAAAUGGUUGUAUCGUUUUGCAUUCCCACCAGCAGUGCAUAAGAGUUCUGAUCUCCCCACAGCCUCCCCAACAUUUGUUAUUUCCUGUUUUAUUAAUUUCUGCCAGUAAUGCUGAGUGAGAUUGUGUCUUGUUGUGGUUUUGAUUUGCGUUUCUCUGGUGGCUAGUGAUCGCAAGCAUUUCUUCAUGUGUCUUUUGGACACUUGAAUGUCUUCUUUGGUGAAGUAUCUGUUCAUUUCCUUUGCCUAUUUCUUAACUGGAUUAUUUGUCUUUUUGUUGUAGAAGUGUUGGAUUUUCUUGUAGAUUUUAGAGAUUAGACCUUCAUCUGAUUUGUGAUAGCCAAAGAUUUUUUCCCAAUUUAUAGGUUCUCUUUUUACUCUUUUGGUGAAGUCUUUUGAGGAGCAUAAGUGUUUAAUUUUUAGAAGAUCACAGUUAACUAGCUUAUCUUCUGGAGUUUGUGUGUUGUUGGUUGUGGGUUGUGGUUUGUAUCCUGCUAAUGCUGUGUAUUAGGGCGUCUAGUGUUGAUCCUAUUUCUUCUUCUAUGAACUUCAUGGUUUUGGGCUUUAUUAUAUUUAGGUCUUUGAUUCAUUUUGAGUUAGUUUUUGUAUAUGGUGUGAGGUAUGGGUCCUGUUUCAUUUUUUUGCAGAUGGACAUCCAGUUUUGCCAGCACCAUUUCUUAAAAAGUCUGUCUUUUCCCCCACUUGAUGGGCUUUGGGCUCUUGUUGAAGAUCAGGUGACCAUAGGUGGAUGGAUUUACAUCUGGGUUCUCAAUUCUGUUCUAUUGAUCAGUGUAUCUGUCCUUGUACCAGUACCAGGCUGUUUUGACUACUAUAGCUGUAUAGUAGGUUCUGAGAUCAGGUAGUGCAAGUCCUCCUACUUUAUUCUUCUUCUUCAGUAGUGCUUUACUUAUCCAGGGCUUCUUCCCUUUCCAUAUAAAGUUAAUGAUAAGUUUUUCCAUCUCUUUAAAGAAUGUUGUUGGUAUUUGGAUCAGAAUGCAUUGUAUUUUUAAAUUGCUUUGGAUAGAAUUGUCAUUUUCACAGUGUUGAGUCUACCUAUCCAUGGGCAUGGUAUGUUUUUCCAUUUAUGUAGAUCUCUUUUGGUUUCUUGCAGUAGUGUUUUGUAGUUUUCUUUGAAUAAGUCCAUUACAUCCCUGGUUAGAUUUAUUCCUAAGUAUUUUUUUUUUUAGGGGCUGUUAUAAAUGGUAUUGUUUUCAUGAUUUCCUUUUCAUCGUUCUGUUUAUUGGUGUAUAGGAAUCCAACUGAUUUUUGUGUAUUUAUCUUUUAUCUUGCUACUCUGCUGAAUUUUUCUCUUAGUUCCAGUAGUUUUCUUGUGGAGUCUUUUGGGUUUUCUAUGUGUAGUAUCAUGUCACCCGCAAAUAGGGGCAGUUUAACUUCUUCUAAGUGUAAUAUUUUAAAAAAUAAAAAUUAGUAAAAAAAUUCAUGAUGGACAAAAUUUUAAAUAAAGACAGGAUCAGUAUUACUGAUGUUUCUUUUUGCUUAAGGCUUCAAUGUGGCUCAAAACAGCACUGUCUUUAUGUAUGCUUCCAGAAUAGGUUAACUUACGAAUUAAUGUAGCAUCCUUUAAACACAUAUUCUCAGUUUUUUUUUUUUAAUUAACAUAGACUAAUGAACCUACUCAUUUUCAGUUUAUUUUACAUACCCCACUGAUAUUCAGAAAACACAGGUACAAUAUGGCAUUUGAAGUGUUUCAGUUUUUUAAAAAAAUAUAAUGAUCUCUCUAACUUCUGUAAAAUUGUUUAAAAAAAAAAAAUUCUGCAGCUGCUCUCCUCUAUCCCUUAAAGAUGACUUUUAAAGUUUUUUAUAUUGAAAUAAUUUUAGACUUACAGAAAAAUUGCAAGAAUAGUGUAAAUAAUUCCCAUAUAUACAUCCUUCACCCAGGUGCCCCAAAUGCUAACAUUUUACUGUAUUUGCUUUAUCAUUCUUGUUCUCUGUCUCACCUUCUCUCUCACUCUCUUCUCAGUCUGUGUGUGUAUGUAUGCAUUUGUGUAUACAAACGCAGAGAUACAUUUGUAUGUGUGUGUAUAAUUGUUUUCUGGACUCUUUAAGAGUAAGUUGCAGGCAUAAUACCCCUUUACUCCUAAAUACUUAAAUGUGUAUUUCCUAAACACAAGGACAUUCUCUUCUAUAACUACAUAUAAUUAUGAAAAUCAAGAAAUUAACAUUGAUACAAUACUAUUUCCUAAGAGUUCUCUCAGCGUGAGAAAGUGUGUCUUUCCUGACAAAUGCGUAUGCCUUUUUUAUUAGCUACAGAGAGUUAUGGAAGCCACCUCAUUUUCUUUUCUGCUUUCAUUUCUAGUAAGGUCACAGUGGGUUUUGUACACAAUUAUAAUAGCUUCCCGUAGUCUGUAUUUUCUGGUAUAAGUACUCUUUAUUUCAUUAUUUGACUCAUUCUUUCAUUUUGUUUUAAUUUGUUGUUUCCCUAAAGGAUAUUCUAUAGACCCCAGUUCUUUGGAAAUUAAUGAGUGAUCAGUGUACAAAAGACUCUAUAGUCAAAUAUGAUUUUAAAAUUCUGUAUUGAAGUUAAGAUAGGUUUAUUCAGAAUGUCUCAGAACAUUUAAUAUGCUAAUGUUCAUCAUGAAUCUCCAGCAAGGAAUCACAGUAUACACUUUUCCCAAACCAAAAACCCAAACCCAGUGCCAUCGAGUCGAUUCCGACUCAUAGCGACCCUACAGGACAGAGUAGAACUGCCCCAUAGAGUUUCCAAGGAGCGCCUGGUGGAUUCAAACUGCCGGCCCUUUGGUUAGCAGCCGUAGCACUUAACCACUAUGUUCCCAAGCUUGUUUAAAAUGGAACUCUUUUUUUAUAGGAAGCAUUCCAAAGGCCCUAUGUUCCAGAAUUCACUUUUGAAAUUCUGUAGGAAUGAAUCUUAGGAUGCACCUUUGGUGGGCCCUUCCAGAAAUAUCAUGUAUCAUCUAAGUUUUGGAAUGAUCUAGGGAACCAUUCAAAAUUGGGAUCAUUUGCAAGUAUCUGAAACAAAGGUGUACUGUGUUUUUCUUUAAGUAGCUUUACAUAUUUUCCAUGUUAGGCGUAAAGGAAGAAAAGCCAGUGUACUUGUUAUACAAGGUAAAAGUCUUGCUUAUACUUUGACCAGGCAGUGACCCAUCUCAGUAUUAGAUGGAGGCAAUUUGGGGGCCAGAGAAGCUGUAGGAGACUUCAGACAAAGCCAGAACAUUCCCAGACUCUCCUUGGAUCUGCUCAGAUGUUCAAACACUUGACCAAAACCCUCUCAUUCUAUAUCAAAAAGCAGUGUCGAGAUAGCCUUGACCUGAGAGAUUUUGACAAUGUUAAUUAAGCUUGCACUUCAUCUUUUAAAAAAAAUAGAACCAAGGAAAGCAAUCACUUCAAUACAGCCACCAUGGAGUGUUUAAUUUUGAAGAAAAUUACAUCCUGAAGGGCCAGUUAGAAUGACUUAACCUGUUAACUAGAAUAAUUUUAUUUUCAUUUACCUGUAUUUUUAAAGAAUGUCUGCAAAAUAAUUCCAGUUUGGCUUUGAUGGAGUUAAUGUUAAAAUAUUCUUUCAACAGCAAUUGAUCAAAAGUUUCAGUUUCUUGAAGUUACAGUUACAAGGAAGUUGUCAGAACAUGUCAUCAUCAUAUUUAAAAAAUCAUUAAAUAGGCAGUAAUUGUAUGUAUGCACUGAAGAAUUGCUCGGCUAAUGAAUCUAGACAAGGCCAUGUAUAAAAUGGACAAGUCCUUAAUUAAAGUUCACAAGUCAACUAACUUACUCAGCAGGUUAGUCUACCAGACCUAGGUAAGGCAUCUUGUUGUUGUUAGGUGCCGUCGAGUCAGUUCCGACUCGUAGUGAUCCUACGCACAACAGAAUGAAACACUGCCCAGUCCUGCGCCAUCCUCACAAAUGUUGCUAUGCUUGAGCCCAUUGUUGCAGUCAUCGUGUCAGUCCAUCUCGUUGAGGGUCUUCCUCUUUUUCGCUAACCCUCUAGACAUCUUGGGGCUGGUCAUUUCCAACAAAAUAUACUCAACCAGCAACCACCUCCAACUCCCAAUACUCAGGUUCAUCAGGACAGUAUAAGGCUUAUACUCAGAGGUACUUUGUCUUUUUAUUUUAAAGAUUUUACAUUGGUUUAUUGACUGAAGAUUUUGUUGUUUUACUACUUCUUAACUGUCCCUUUAGGUCAUGUCAAGAUGCUAUCAAUUGACCUUUAAAACUAAGGAACGUUGUGUAGACAUUGUGCUGGACACCUACAAAUUACACCUUAUCCUUGUCCUUUUCUUCUCAGUGCAUAUUAACCUGCUAUUCUGGUUGAAAACAAAAACAAACAACAUGGACACCAGCAUUUUAAAAUCAGGCAUUUAUUCAUUUUUAUCCCUCAUAGAGACAUUUGGGAGGAAGAGGAAUAUCUCUUUAAAAAUUACUCUUUGAUGCCUAUUCAUGAUAAAAACUCUCAUCAAGGUAGAAAUAGAGGGAAACUUUCACAAUUUUGUAAAGAACAUCUACCAAAAAAAAAAAAAAAACCUAUAGCUAACAUCAUACUUGAUGGUGAGAAACAGAUGCUUUUCCCCAAAGGUUGAAAGACAAGAAUGUCCCCUCUCACCACACCUAUUCAACACUGUAACUGGAAGUCCUAGCUAAUGCAAUUAGACAAGAAAAGGAAAUGAAAGAUACACAGAUUGGGAAGAAAGAAAUAAAACUGUCUUUGUUCACAGGCGAUAUGAUUAUCGAUAUACAAAAUCCAAAAGAAUCUACCAAAAAUUCCUGGAACUAAUAUGAAAUUAUAGCAAGGUUGCAAAAUGCAAAUUAACAUAUAAAAAUCAAGUGUUUUCCUAUAUACCAGCAAAGAACUGGAAUUUGAAAUUAAAAUUACUUCUAGAAGGGGUUGAUCCUUCAUUAAUCAAUCAUGAAAUAUCCCAAAGAGGAUAUAACUAUCAUAUUCUAAAUUUGACCUACCUAGAUACAUAGGUAGAUGCCAAAGAUUAAUUUUAUGUAUUUUAUGAUUUGCUCAGAGAUCAACCUGCUACCUUCAUAAACUCUCCUCUACUAGAGCUCUUUAACAACCAUCAAUUGUCAGAACUCUACAAGAACAACUAUAUAGGGAACUUAGAGGUAGAAAUGGACAAAAGACACCUCUAAAAUUUUCUCUCCAGUCGAGAUGGAGGCCCUGGGAAGCUGCUAUUUUGAAAGAUUCUGGUUGUGGAAACCAAGAGAGCACCCAGUUCAGAGCACCAGGAGCUGUGAAUGAAACAGUGAUUUGUAUUGAGAACUGGAUGUAUUAAAACAGGACAGAAGGGUCCAACACCCAUGAUGAAUAGGAAAAAAGAAUAAAAACAAAAACCGAAAAAGGAAAGCCAAUCUGUGCUUGAUUCUGAGACUAAACCGAGGCUAUGUCAUUGACCUACCUAAUAGAGUGUAGCCUGGAGUCCUACAUCUUUUGCGAAGUGUAUUUUGUACUUUAAUGACUGCCAGGUGCUGCUUUUGAGAAGCCUGACCGCUGAGGAUGUGUGCACAGAGGAAAAAAUGGUAAAAUUAAAAUGGCAUUAUCCCGCAUCUGGUUAAACAUGACAGAUUGUGUUUAUCUCUGUUCCCUCUUAAAAUUCCUAAACAAAUAGUCAAGGAAUAAAAAUUGGAUAAACCCACAAGGACAAUAAAGCCAUAGUAGAAACAAACACAGACAAGAGGUAUCAACAAUUUUAUACGUAAAUGAAUAAGUGGUUACUCCCUUAAGCAAAUGGAGAAAGCUGAAAUCUAAGUGCCUGCAAAGAAGAAAGCAAACAAGCUGGUUACCAGUAUAGGGCUGUAGAAAAAUCCAGAAGCUGGAACGGACAAGUACCUCUGAAGGUAACCGAACCCAUUUCCAUCGAAUCAAUUUCGACUUAUCCCGACCCUAUGUGACAGAAUAGAACUGCCCCAUAGGGUUUCCAAGGCUGUUAUCUUUACGGAAGCAGACUGCCACAUCUUUCUCCCAUGGAGCAGUUGAUGGAUUCAAACAAGAAGUUUACUCUCUGAAGAAAUCGAACCAGAGAAGCCCUGGGCUUGGUGAUACCAGGCACAGUGAAGGGCAGGGGCCACACACCAUACUGAAACCAAGGAGGAAAUUAAGUGGAAGUCUGGAUACUUAAGAGUGAGAUCCUCUCCCCAUUUCCCUUCACUCUGGGAAUUCUGGCAGCAAAGAGAAAACAUUUUAACAUGCUGACAUCCAAGAUCCCCUCAGAUGGCUGAUACCUGAUCAUCCUGCAGUGAAAUCUGCCGUAAAGCACACGCACAGAGUUUCCGUUGGCUUUCCACUCUUAAAUGUGACUGUGUAGCCAUUGGCCCCCAGACGUUUAAGGAAGGCAUCUAGCACAAAAGGCCAAGGCCAAAACAAAUGGGGGAAGAGGGAAAAUUAGAGGUAACAGGUACCGUGCAGAGAGCGGUUUAAAAAAUAAAACCACAAUUCCCGUCCUCAGAGAGAAAGAACGAGAUGUUGCGUUUGUAAAACAAGAGCAACAUGCUUUAAAAAGGACUAGCCAGAGAACAAGGACAAGCUCUUGGAAACUGAAAACAUGAUAGCCGAAAUGAAAGAUUCUGUAUCAGGCCUGGAAGAUGGUGUUUAGAACAUUCAUUCAUUCAAGAAAUAUUACUGAGUGGCUACUGUGCCCUUGGCAUUGUUCUAGGUAGUGGAGAUGUAUCAGUGAGCAAAAGAGAUAUCCCAGGCCUGUUGUUGUUAGUUGGUGGUGGGUGGAUUCCGACGGUGACACCAUGUAUGCAGAGUAGAAUUACUCCAUAGGAUUUUCAAGGCUGUGGCCUUUCAGAAGCAGACUGCUAGGCCUGUCUUCUGAGGCACUUCUGGGUGGGUUUGACCGCCAACCUUCCAAUUAGCAGCCUAGCACUUAACCACUGCAUCACCAGAUAAACAGAAAC